GAUGAACGCUGGCGGCGUGCCUAAUACAUGCAAGUCGAGCGAACGGACGAGAAGCUUGCUUCUCUGAUGUUAGCGGCGGACGGGUGAGUAACACGUGGAUAACCUACCUAUAAGACUGGGAUAACUUCGGGAAACCGGAGCUAAUACCGGAUGAUAUUUUGAACCGCAUGGUUCAAAAGUGAAAGACGGUCUUGCUGUCACUUAUAGAUGGAUCCGCGCUGCAUUAGCUAGUUGGUAAGGUAACGGCUUACCAAGGCAACGAUGCAUAGCCGACCUGAGAGGGUGAUCGGCCACACGGGAACUGAGACACGGUCCAGACUCCUACGGUAGGCAGCAGUAGGGAAUCUUCCGCAAUGGGCGAAAGCCUGACGGAGCAACGCCGCGUGAGUGAUGAAGGUCUUCGGAUCGUAAAACUCUGUUAUUAGGGAAGAACAUAUGUGUAAGUACCUGUGCACAUCUUGACGGUACCUAAUCAGAAAGCCACGGCUAACUACGUG
This 497-nucleotide ribosomal RNA is filed under the name uncultured bacterium. RNAcentral describes it as "partial 16S ribosomal RNA". It matches the Rfam family "Bacterial small subunit ribosomal RNA", at positions 28 to 507 of the family's 1533-position model. The record is from RNAcentral.